Molecule: small RNA, 5820 nt
Filed under: Pongo abelii (Sumatran orangutan)
Lineage: Eukaryota; Metazoa; Chordata; Mammalia; Primates; Hominidae
Description: retained intron
Source: RNAcentral
CAGUUGCUGCUUUUUUUCUGUCUUAUGACCAGUAGGUGGGGCUGGGGGGCCCUCCAGUGUGGGGGGACUACUAAGGGCCUGGUUUCACUGUCAGUUUCAGUUGAUUGCAAGUGAUCAGAACUGUCCCUGGAAUAGCAACCUCCUUGCUGCAAGGUGUGGUGAACUCUGUGUCUCCAAUUCGCAUAUUGUUUAGGUUAAUUUACGUUCGUUGUUGGAAGCAACAACUGGAUCACCCUUGAGCCCAUGCCACUCUUGAGUGUUCUAUCUUAAAAGGUGGAGAUAUGGUCCUUAUCUUUGAGGAAGUUAUAAUUUAAAAGAGAAAGGCAUGAAAUGUCUGCUUUGGUGGUGAUAUUAAGGAACUAGCUGUGUGUCUGGUGGGAAGUGUGCCCUCUGUGCGUAUAUUUUGGAAUAUAAAACUAAAUCCCUGUCCUAAUAUUGGAAUGUUUAGGGGCUAUUUGGGGGCAAGCAUUGGUAGGCUGGAUUUUUUUUUUUUUUUUUUCCGAGACAGGGUCUUACCCUGUCACCCAGGCUGGAGUUCAGUGAUGUGAUCAUAGCUCACUGUAGUCUUGAACUCCUGGGCUCAAGCGAUCCUCCCACCUCAGCCUCCUGAGUAGCUAGGACCACAAGCACCUGCCACCAUGCCUGGCUAGACAGGGUCUUGCUAUGUGCCCAGGUUGGUCUCAAACUCCUGGCCUCCAGCAGUCCUCCAAGCUCAGUCUCCCAAAGCACUGAGAUGACAGGUGUGAGCCACUGCACCCAGCCUGAAUUUGUGUUUUUCUAUAUUUUGUUUGAUUAUAAGUGUAAUGUACACUUAUUAUUAACAAUUCAAACUAUACUGAAGUAUAAGAAGAAAAGGGGAAGAUGCCCUUUCACUAAUCACAUUCUGCCUCCCGUCCGAUCUCAUUCCCCAGUGUUGCUAUGGUGAUAUGAAUAGUUGGGCAUUAAUCUCUCCAAAUCUUUAUAUAGAGAAAAUGCACACUUGUGUGUAUGCGUAUGUAUAUGUUCACAUAAUACAGAUACAGACUUUUUUAACUGAAGUGGGAUCAUACGAGAUAGACUGAUGUGCAGCUGGCUUUUUCACUUAACCAUGUAUUAAACAUCUUUUAUGCCAGUGGCUUAUAGAUGGAGCCCAUUCUCUUUAGUGAAUGGAAUGCCUUGUACUGUCUACAGUAUAAAUGAGUCGUGACUUUUUUUCCCCCCAACGUUUCACCAUUCUCUUAUUAGCGGACAUUUGUGCUGUAUGCACUGGGUUUUAAAGAUCUCACAUGCUCUUGGUCAUUCAUUCCUGUGGACCGUAGUCCUCUGAAUCGGAAAGUAUAUUUCAUAAACGCCCAUCACAGAGGAAGAAGUACUGUCACGACUGUGCACAAAGCUAGAGGCUUUGCCAUCCCGAGGGCCCUCAGCCCUGUGUCGCUCAUUGAACUCUCCUCCCUACUUGCUGGCAGCCUUCACUGUCCUUGUCUUUCAGCUCCUCGGCGGAUGGUACUUCUACGUUCAGGCCUACAAAUCUCUGAGACACAGGUCAGCCAACAUGGACGUGCUCAUCGUCCUGGCCACGAGCAUUGCUUACGUCUAUUCUCUGGUCAUCCUGGUGGUUGCUGUGGCUGAGAAGGCGGAGAGGAGCCCUGUGACAUUCUUCGACACGCCCCCCAUGCUCUUCGUGUUCAUUGCCCUGGGCCGGUGGCUGGAACACUUGGCAAAGAGCAAAACCUCAGAAGCCCUGGCUAAACUCAUGUCUCUCCAAGCCACAGAAGCCACCGUUGUGACCCUUGGUGAGGACAAUUUAAUCAUCAGGGAGGAGCAAGUCCCCAUGGAGCUGGUGCAGCGGGGCGAUAUCGUCAAGGUGGUCCCUGGGGGAAAGUUUCCAGUGGACGGGAAAGUCCUGGAAGGCAAUACCAUGGCUGAUGAGUCCCUUAUCACGGGAGAAGCCAUGCCAGUCACUAAGAAACCUGGAAGCACUGUAAUUGCGGGGUCUAUAAAUGCACAUGGCUCUGUGCUCAUUAAAGCCACCCACGUGGGCAAUGACACCACUUUGGCUCAGAUUGUGAAACUGGUGGAAGAGGCUCAGAUGUCAAAGGCACCCAUUCAGCAGCUGGCUGACCGGUUUAGUGGAUAUUUUGUCCCAUUUAUCAUCAUCAUGUCAACUUUGACGUUGGUGGUAUGGAUUGUAAUCGGUUUUAUCGAUUUUGGUGUUGUUCAGAAAUACUUUCCUAACCCCAACAAGCACAUCUCCCAGACGGAGGUGAUCAUCCGGUUUGCGUUCCAGACGUCCAUCACGGUGCUGUGCAUUGCCUGCCCCUGCUCCCUGGGGCUGGCCACGCCCACGGCUGUCAUGGUGGGCACCGGGGUGGCCGCGCAGAACGGCAUCCUCAUCAAGGGAGGCAAGCCCCUGGAGAUGGCGCACAAGAUAAAGACUGUGAUGUUUGACAAGACUGGCACCAUUACCCAUGGCGUCCCCAGGGUCAUGCGGGUGCUCCUGCUGGGGGAUGUGGCCACACUGCCCCUCAGGAAGGUUCUGGCUGUGGUGGGGACUGCGGAGGCCAGCAGUGAACACCCCUUGGGCGUGGCAGUCACCAAAUACUGUAAAGAGGAACUUGGAACAGAGACCUUGGGAUACUGCACGGACUUCCAGGCAGUGCCAGGCUGUGGAAUUGGGUGCAAAGUCAGCAACGUGGAAGGCAUCCUGGCCCACAGUGAGCGCCCUUUGAGUGCACCGGCCAGUCACCUGAAUGAGGCUGGCAGCCUUCCUGCAGAAAAAGAUGCAGCCCCCCAGACCUUCUCUGUGCUGAUUGGAAACCGUGAGUGGCUGAGGCGCAACGGUUUAACCAUUUCUAGCGACGUCAGUGACGCUAUGACAGACCACGAGAUGAAAGGACAGACGGCCAUCCUGGUGGCUAUUGACGGUGUGCUCUGUGGGAUGAUCGCUAUCGCAGACGCUGUCAAGCAGGAGGCUGCCCUGGCUGUCCACACGCUGCAAAGCAUGGGUGUGGACGUGGUUCUGAUCACGGGGGACAACCGGAAGACAGCCAGAGCCAUUGCCACCCAGGUUGGCAUCAACAAAGUCUUUGCAGAGGUGCUGCCUUCGCACAAGGUGGCCAAGGUCCAGGAGCUCCAGAAUAAAGGGAAGAAAGUCGCCAUGGUGGGGGAUGGGGUCAAUGACUCCCCGGCCUUGGCCCAGGCAGACAUGGGUGUCGCCAUUGGCACCGGCACGGAUGUGGCCAUCGAGGCAGCCGACGUCGUCCUUAUCAGAAAUGAUUUGCUGGAUGUGGUAGCUAGCAUUCACCUUUCCAAGAGGACUGUCCGAAGGAUACGCAUCAACCUGGUCCUGGCACUGAUUUAUAACCUGGUUGGGAUACCCAUUGCGGCAGGUGUCUUCAUGCCCAUCGGCAUUGUGCUGCAGCCCUGGAUGGGCUCAGCGGCCAUGGCGGCCUCCUCUGUGUCUGUGGUGCUCUCAUCCCUGCAGCUCAAGUGCUAUAAGAAGCCUGACCUGGAGAGGUAUGAGGCACAGGCGCAUGGCCACAUGAAGCCCCUGACAGCAUCCCAGGUCAGUGUGCACAUAGGCAUGGAUGACAGGCGGCGGGACUCCCCCAGGGCCACACCAUGGGACCAGGUCAGCUAUGUCAGCCAGGUGUCGCUGUCCUCCCUGACGUCCGACAAGCCAUCUCGGCACAGCACUGCAGCAGACGAUGGUGGGGACAAGUGGUCUCUGCUCCUGAAUGACAAGGAUGAGGAGCAGUACAUCUGAUGACUUCAGGCGGGCGGGCCGGGGCAGGGACUUGCCUCCACUCACCACAAGCUGAGCAGGACAGCCAGCAGCAGGAUGGGCUGAGCUAGCCUCCAGCUUUGGGGACUUCCACUCCCUGGAUAUGUCCAGUCAUCCUGCCCUGCAGCACGCGGCCUUGUCUGGGUGCAGCUGGGCUUGGCCUGGAGAGGACGGCCCUGCCUGCCUCUUGGCCUCACAGGACCGUCAGCAUGGGCUUUGUCUUGGACUCUAGUCCUUGGCUGGACUGUAGAAGGUGAGAGGCAAGUCACCCUCCUCACAGACCUCUGCUUGGAGUAUUUAGGAUGACUGCUAUGAAAUGGAGAACAGUUUCAUCAUGACCAAAAAACCUCACUGGGCCUCUCCAGAGAACUGCAGACCUCACUGUCAGGCUCUUUCUGAUGACGCGUGUCUGUGUGCAUCGUGUUUCUGAGACCACAGUUUACCUCAGGUGUGCCUGUUGCUUUCUUCCUGCACAGUCUGUUCCUUUUCUCUCCUGUGUGCUUGUCAGUGGGGACCCCUCGCAACCCUGCCUGUCACCUGGGAGGGUGGGACCAAUGUCCUUGUGGUCUUUGCUGCUGCUCUCAGGUGCUUCUCCAAUGCUCUGGAGUGUGCAUUUCAGCUUGAACCUGCUUCCUGGCUUGCACAUCCCCAGCCAGGGAGCUUGCCACACUCUUCUUCAAGUUGAGGAGAGUUCUUUUUUGCUUAAAGCCCCCUUCUCCAUGGAGUGGUGGCUUCUCAGUAGAGUGUUGUUGCUGACCAGCUGGAGUGAGGGUCUCAGGGCCUGACCUGAGAGUCCAGACUCGGCUUCCUGUGGGGUCUAGGUUCUCGCGAUUCAGGACGUCCUUCCAUAUCCCUGCCCAGCCUGUGGUGCUUGAAACAUUUGCCCCAUGGGAGACGUAUGUGUGCAGGAGCCUCCCUGCACGGCCCAAGGGGCUUUGUUUUCAGUCUUCUGACUGUCACCUCAUGGGGUUCAGUAGAGAAUUCAUGUCACUAGCGCCUGGCCUUGUGUGGCUUGGAGGAAAUGGUACUGCCCAAAUAGGAGGGAAACACAGCCUCCCUGAGCCUGCAUUCUGCACGCUGCCCAGGAGCUUCAGAAAAGGAGUGGCCACAGCACCCCAAAGGGAGCAUCUGUUUACCUGGCAGUGGCUCUCAGAGCAGCAGAACGGGUUCAGUUUUAGACUCUGAAGUUGGUUGUGAUUGACAGAACCCCUUGGGAGCAAACUAGUAGAGUUGGAUUAAAUUCUGGGUGAAACCCUUUUCUCCCACACAAAAUAGUUUUAGUGAUUUUUUUCAGUGUCCAUUACUUGCCAGGGGCAGUUUUAGCAGCACUUUUGAUAGAUUACGUCUAAUCCUCCCAACUAACCAGCAAGGUAGCUGUUACUGUCCACAUUUUACAGGCAAGGAAACAGGCUCUAAGAGGCUGAGGACUUUGCCCAGGAUGACAUAGCCAAUGGACAAGCUGUGUCUGUCAGCUGUGAAGGCUUCACUCUAAUUGUCCUUCUACCUUGAAUAGACAUUUUCCUGAUAAGAAUAAACAAGGAAAAGGUCUUUGCCUCCUGGAAGAACAAAUCUACCAGGUGAUCUAUUCAUUGUUUCAACUCAGAAUGCACUUGAUUCAGGAGGUCAUCUGACCUUCACCUUGGAUGGUUAGUUUCACUUUUUACAUAUAGUUUUUGCAGGGUUUUAUUUUACAAAAUCCAAGCGAGCGGCUGAUUGUGUUUUCGUUGUUUUCAGCCCCCCACUCCAGCCCGCAGCACAUUUCCGCUAUCCGUCAGUAAUUGUGUCCUCUUUUUAUGCUUGCUUGGGGAAUGUUGUUUUCUGACUAGGUCAUUAUCUAAAUUCUUUAGGUCAUUAUCUAAAGAAUCUAAUUCUGUUGAUUUUUAAAACUUUUAGGACCAUAAACAUUGUGUUCAUAUAUGGACAUGGAAAUAUUUAUAUAAUUUUAUAGAAAAUAACCUUUUAGAUGGUCAAAGUGUAAGGAAUUUUUUUGUCAGAUAAUCAUUUCUACUUCAAAAACAUUUCAUGCAACAUUAGAAUAAAGUUCCUGUCAUUCCUCC